This 397-nucleotide ribosomal RNA is filed under the name uncultured bacterium. Its description in RNAcentral is "partial 16S ribosomal RNA". It matches the Rfam family "Bacterial small subunit ribosomal RNA", at positions 523 to 918 of the family's 1533-position model. The record is from RNAcentral.
AUACGUAGGGUGCGAGCGUUGUCCGGAAUUACUGGCGUAAAGAGCUCGUAGGUGGUUUGUCGCGUCGUCUGUGAAAUUCCGGGGCUUAACUCCGGGCGUGCAGGCGAUACGGGCAUAACUUGAGUACUGUAGGGGAGACUGGAAUUCCUGGUGUAGCGGUGAAAUGCGCAGAUAUCAGGAGGAACACCGGUGGCGAAGGCGGGUCUCUGGGCAGUAACGGACGCUGAGGAGCGAAAGCAUGGGUAGCGAACAGGAUUAGAUACCCUGGUAGUCCAUGCCGUAAACGGUGGGCGCUAGGUGUAGGGGUCUUCCACGACUUCUGUGCCGUAGCUAACGCAUUAAGCGCCCCGCCUGGGGAGUACGGCCGCAAGGCUAAAACUCAAAUGAAUUGACGGGG